RNAcentral lists this ribosomal RNA (372 nucleotides) under Staphylococcus aureus. Its description in RNAcentral is "partial 23S ribosomal RNA". It matches the Rfam family "Bacterial large subunit ribosomal RNA", at positions 1074 to 1451 of the family's 2925-position model. Lineage: Bacteria; Bacillati; Bacillota; Bacilli; Caryophanales; Staphylococcaceae. The record is from RNAcentral.
UGUGGCGUUGCCCAGACAACUAGGAUGUUGGCUUAGAAGCAGCCAUCAUUUAAAGAGUGCGUAAUAGCUCACUAGUCGAGUGACACUGCGCCGAAAAUGUACCGGGGCUAAACAUAUUACCGAAGCUGUGGAUUGUCCUUUGGACAAUGGUAGGAGAGCGUUCUAAGGGCGUUGAAGCAUGAUCGUAAGGACAUGUGGAGCGCUUAGAAGUGAGAAUGCCGGUGUGAGUAGCGAAAGACGGGUGAGAAUCCCGUCCACCGAUUGACUAAGGUUUCCAGAGGAAGGCUCGUCCGCUCUGGGUUAGUCGGGUCCUAAGCUGAGGCCGACAGGCGUAGGCGAUGGAUAACAGGUUGAUAUUCCUGUACCACCUAU